RNAcentral lists this ribosomal RNA (253 nucleotides) under uncultured bacterium. Its description in RNAcentral is "partial 16S ribosomal RNA". It matches the Rfam family "Bacterial small subunit ribosomal RNA", at positions 524 to 776 of the family's 1533-position model. The record is from RNAcentral.
UACGUAGGGUGCAAGCGUUAAUCGGAAUUACUGGGCGUAAAGCGUGCGCAGGCGGUUUUGUAAGUCUGUCGUGAAAUCCCCGGGCUCAACCUGGGAAUUGCGAUGGAGACUGCAAGGCUAGAAUCUGGCAGAGGGGGGUAGAAUUCCACGUGUAGCAGUGAAAUGCGUAGAGAUGUGGAGGAACACCGAUGGCGAAGGCAGCCCCCUGGGGUAACACUGACGCUCAUGCACGAAAGCGUGGGGAGCAAACAGG